AAUAUUGGACAAUGGGCGAAAGCCUGAUCCAGCCUUGCCGCUUGUUUGAAGAAGGUCUUCGGAUUGUAAAGCACUUUAAGUUGGGAGGAAGAGUUGUAGGCUAAUACCUUGCAAUUUUGACGUUACCACAAGAAUAAGCAUCGGCUAACUUCGUACCAGCAGCCGUGGUAACAUGAAUCGUCCAAGCGUUAACCGAAAUUACUGGGCGUAAAGCGCUAGUAGGUGGUUCGUUAAGUUAGAAGUGAAAGCCCCGGGCUUAACCUGGCAAUUGCUUUCAAAACUGACGAGCUAGAGUACAGUAGAAGGUAGUGGAAUUUCCUGUGUAGCGGUGAAAUGCGUAGAUAUAGGAAGGAACAUCAGUGGCGAAGGCGACUACCUGGACUGAUACUGACACUGAGGUGCGAAAGCGUGGGGAGCAAACAGG
This 424-nucleotide ribosomal RNA is filed under the name uncultured bacterium. RNAcentral's name for it is "partial 16S ribosomal RNA". It matches the Rfam family "Bacterial small subunit ribosomal RNA", at positions 360 to 776 of the family's 1533-position model. The record is from RNAcentral.